UAGAUUAACUUUGCCCUUUGUUUCAAUGAUAUUAAAUACAUUCACAAGAAAGUUAUCAUCACAAGGACUUUUGUGGCUUGUAUUGAGGCCAGACUAAGAAGAAAAAAAUGGUUCUUUUGGAUAACAAAACGCCUUGAGCUAAUAGAACAAUAAUUCAAUUUAUGAUAUAACAUUAAUCCUUCUUUUGCUUUAAAAUUGAAUAAUUCACUUCCCCAACUUAUUUCCCAACUUUCAUUCAUUAAAUUCAUUUUUCUUUCUUAUCUUCUUUCUUUUUUAUACUUUUUGUUAUGUUUCUCAAUGCUCCCUUAUGACAUGAACUCCCCUAAACUUAAACCAUUCUCCUGAUUCUAGAGCGUAUGUUCAUCUUAACUUAAGGUAAAAGGGUCAAUAAUCUAUCAUUAAGCUUAAGGUUCUAGGUAUAAGAAAUCUUUCGUUUAGGGUUCAAAGGU
RNAcentral lists this long non-coding RNA (449 nucleotides) under Vigna radiata. RNAcentral's name for it is "long non-coding RNA (VRAD_LNC007180)". Lineage: Eukaryota; Viridiplantae; Streptophyta; Magnoliopsida; Fabales; Fabaceae. The record is from RNAcentral.